GCUAGGAGGUGUGGGCCUCGGGUGAAGGGAGACCCAGCUCUUAGACCUGGGAGCCCAGACGAGGUGGAUCUGCCCACCUUGCAGCUUCCAGGUAGAUCCUUCUUGUGGCUCCAGAUGCUCUGGCGAAUGCAGGAAGGGGAGGCUCUUUUCUCCUUUGCACCCCAGCAAUCUGGAGUGCAAGACCUUUUGCGGGAGGGGGCUUAGUCAGCUGUUUCGAAGAGGCAGCCUCCCCUCCCUUUUAUCCACCAAGCCCCCUAUUUCCGGGUGGGGGCACGGUGACUGCCAAGGCCAGUAAGCACCUCACUUAACCCUUCUCUCCCUGAGGAGGUGCAUGCUCCUCUCCCAGAGGUGCCUUUGGCUGAGAGUGGAUCCCUGGUUCCUAGUAGCCCUAUAGGGAAACAUUUGGAGGUUGGGUGGGUUUGGAACCCUGUAAAACCUUUAGGUCCUCCCUGUUCAGACCUUCCACGUGCAGGCUUUUCUUACUUUCUCCGCGGGUGCCCUGCAGAGGACUCCUGCUGCCUUGUACCAGUUGGGAAAAAGCAAAAUUCAGAGCAGUUCCUUUUUCUGGGUCCCUCGCCUUGGCCACAUCGGAGGAAACGUCGACUCGCCAGGGCUCCCGGGAGAGAUCCCGAGGUCAGUCCCUCCCAUUCUAGGGCACCCCUGGAGCAGCUAGCUCCCUGCCUAGCGGUGGCAAACUCCAGAGCCCCAAGGAGCAGAACGGGGAUUCCCUGGGCGCAGGCUCCUGGUGCAGCUCCUGAGCACAAAGGCCACACCCUCACAGGCCAGGCCUGGUGAGAGAGCCGGGCUUCUUCAGAAGUACCUGGACACCUGAGGUGCCCAAGCAAGGAAAGAAAUAAUGAAGAGACACGUGUGUUAGCUGCAGCCUUUUGAACCACGCAAGAAG
RNAcentral lists this small RNA (904 nucleotides) under Pongo abelii (Sumatran orangutan). RNAcentral's name for it is "processed transcript". Lineage: Eukaryota; Metazoa; Chordata; Mammalia; Primates; Hominidae. The record is from RNAcentral.